GAACAUGUGGUAGAGUCUGGUUUAUUACAGUCGUUUUGAAAGCGACCACUUUAUUAAAGUCAGAGGUUCGAAUCCUCUCAUGUUCG
Non-coding RNA from Ceratobasidium sp. 414, 86 nucleotides. Lineage: Eukaryota; Fungi; Basidiomycota; Agaricomycetes; Cantharellales; Ceratobasidiaceae. The record is from the annotation of a GenBank genome assembly.